AGGAAGAAGAUCUGACGGUACUUGAUGAAUAAGCCACGGCUAAUUCCGUGCCAGCAGCCGCGGUAAUACGGGAGUGGCAAGCGUUAUCCGGAAUUAUUGGGCGUAAAGCGUCCGCAGGCGGUCUUGGAAGUCUGUUGUUAAAACGUGGAGCUCAACUCCAUUUCAGCAAUGGAAACUACAAGACUAGAGUGUGGUAGGGGCAGAGGGAAUUCCCGGUGUAGCGGUGAAAUGCGUAGAUAUCGGGAAGAACACCAGUGGCGAAGGCGCUCUGCUGGGCCAUAACUGACGCUCAUGGACGAAAGCCAGGGGAGCGAAAGGGAUUAGAUACCCCUGUAGUCCUGGCCGUAAACGAUGAACACUAGGUGUCGGGGGAAUCGACCCCCUCGGUGUCGUAGCCAACGCGUUAAGUGUUCCGCCUGGGGAGUACGCACGCAAGUGUGAAACUCAAAUGAAUUGACGG
This 460-nucleotide ribosomal RNA is filed under the name uncultured bacterium. RNAcentral's name for it is "bacterial SSU rRNA". It matches the Rfam family "Bacterial small subunit ribosomal RNA", at positions 442 to 916 of the family's 1533-position model. The record is from RNAcentral.